This 422-nucleotide ribosomal RNA is filed under the name Enterobacter cloacae. Its description in RNAcentral is "bacterial SSU rRNA". It matches the Rfam family "Bacterial small subunit ribosomal RNA", at positions 66 to 480 of the family's 1533-position model. Lineage: Bacteria; Pseudomonadati; Pseudomonadota; Gammaproteobacteria; Enterobacterales; Enterobacteriaceae. The record is from RNAcentral.
GCAGCGGAAAGUAGCUUGCUACUUUGCCGGCGAGCGGCGGACGGGUGAGUAAUGUCUGGGAAACUGCCUGAUGGAGGGGGAUAACUACUGGAAACGGUAGCUAAUACCGCAUAACGUCGCAAGACCAAAGAGGGGGACCUUCGGGCCUCUUGCCAUCAGAUGUGCCCAGAUGGGAUUAGCUAGUAGGUGGGGUAACGGCUCACCUAGGCGACGAUCCCUAGCUGGUCUGAGAGGAUGACCAGCCACACUGGAACUGAGACACGGUCCAGACUCCUACGGGAGGCAGCAGUGGGGAAUAUUGCACAAUGGGCGCAAGCCUGAUGCAGCCAUGCCGCGUGUAUGAAGAAGGCCUUCGGGUUGUAAAGUACUUUCAGCGGGGAGGAAGGCGUUGAGGUUAAUAACCUCAGCAAUUGACGUUACCC